GCGUCAGGAACGAGAGCGGGAGGGACGGAAAAGCUGACACACACACACACACACCCGGGUCAGCGUUUGGCGGUAGCUACGGCAACGCGAAUGGCCUGCGCGGCGCUGGUAAACCCGCGCUCGAGUUGGGAUUGAAUCGAAACGGUUUUUUUUAAAAAGAGUGAAAUGCUCCUGGAGGGGGAAAAAUUGACAUAGGCGGUCUCUGUGAAUGGACGACGCACGACCUCUUCAUUUUCCUCACUUUGGAAAAAAUAUUAGUUUGGACCCAGUUGAAGUUAAAGGGUAUGAUGACCAGCUGGGGAGAUGAGUCGGGGACAUCUGUUGUGGAGCAGAUGGGGCCAAACUGAAACUGCAGCAUGUCUCUUCCCAACUACUCAGAGGAUACAUUUACCUCCAUGACUGAAGAAGAAGAGGAGGAGAGGGAGUACGGGGACGACUCAUUUGAAUCUUAUGACUCAGCGGAUGAGUUGAAAGAGCCAGUGGCCUCUGACCUGACCAAGGGUGCUUGGCAAUCCUCAUGUCAAAAGGAUGAAGAAUUGUUAGAUUCUGCAUUUGUAGGAGAGUCUUUAACUAGAAAAUGGAUUAAUCUUCUGAAAGUCAACAGAAGAAGUAUCACUGAGAGAGCAAAACCUUCCAUAGAACCAGAUACUGAUAAGGAAGUAUCUCUGAAAUGAUGACCCAGUGAGGCACAGAUUUGAACAGAAUGCCAGUGGCUUGGCAUUAACACCAUUGGUGUUACUAGAAAAUAGAAAUUGCUAACUGUAUUUGGAAGAGGUCCAGUUGCCCAGAACAACCUUCAAAGAUAAGCUUAAGAAAUCUGCAACCUGAUAGUUUACAGAGGGGGCACAAAACAGUUCCUCAGUUUGGAUAUUUUGCAGUCGUUCAUAAUCACCCUGGCAAUCAUUUUGUGAGAAUGCAGCAUUACCAGGAAUUUCUGAAGAAGAACUGGGGAUCCUGCAGUCUUUCUGUGUCAGCAAAAUUAACCAUCUCCAUUAUCAGAGGAUUUCAGAGCCAUUAAGAAGAAAUAGCCGUGAGGAACAGAGGCCUAGGAUGCUUUCACAGAGGCAGCAGAAGGGAGGUUGUGACUCUGCUGUCCCUUCUGAGCUAGUAAACAGGCUUCAUCUGAAAAGUCUCAAGGAGAUGAUGAAAAAGGUCCUGAAACCAUGACUUUUUUGCAAAUGACUGGGAGGGUGGGAAAAAACCAAGUGCUACUUUUUGUUAUUUACAGACUUACAGGUAGUCCUCAACUUACAACCAUUCAUUUAAUGACCAAAGUUAAAACAGCACUGCAAAAAAAGAUAGCAGAAACUGAAAUGCACCAACCUUCACAAUGCCCCUUUUGCAUGAAGAAAAGAGAAGGGUUUGCAAAAGUUGAAUUUCUCCGUCGAAAGAAAACUAUAUUAGACAAUGUUUUGCUUCAAGAGAAACUGGAAGACUAUAUGUACACCAAAGUAAGCAAAAAGCAGAAUAUAUAUACCAAAAGUAGAUGUAUUGUGUUGCAUUGCAUUGUGUUGUGUUGCGCUGUGCUGUGCUGUGCUAUGCUAUGCUAUCCUAUGCUUAGUACAUACUUCAUGAGCCAUGGUGGUGCAGUGGUUAGAAUGCAGUAUUGCAGGCUAAUUCUGCCAGCUGCUGGCUACCAACAAUUCGGCAGUUCAAUUCUCACUGGCUCAAGGUUGAUUCAGCCUUCCAUCCUUCUGAGGUUGGUAAAAUGAGGCCCCAGAUUUGGGGAGCAAUAAGCUGACUCUGUAAACUCCUUAGAGAGGACUGUAAAGCACUAUGAAGCAGUAUAUAAUUCUAAGUGCUACUGCUAUUGCUAUCUGCAUAUCUCCAAAUUGCUACUAACAUUUUCGAAGGAUUCAGAAUUGGAUUAGAUUGUGUAUGUUUUUCUUAAAAAAAGAGUUCAUGAAAUUUGUUUUUUUAACCUUGGGAAU
This is an RNA transcript of Ahaetulla prasina, 1931 nucleotides long. It is a transcript of the gene named chromosome 11 C8orf48 homolog, with no coding region annotated. The record is from RefSeq and is a predicted model, not a curated record. The transcript has 6 exons. Lineage: Eukaryota; Metazoa; Chordata; Lepidosauria; Squamata; Colubridae.